GGGUCAGUAGGUUGGUCGUGCCACCGGUACGUACUGGUCUCACUGAUUCCUCCUUCCUGAAGAACCGUAAUGCCAUUAAUUUGGUGUUGCGGGGAAACAGGACUGUUACUUUGAAAAAAUUAGAGUGUUUAAAGCAAGCUAACGCUUGAAUACAUUAGCAUGGAAUAAUGAGAUAGGACAAUCGAUCCUAUUUUGUUGGUUUCUAGGAUUGACGUA
RNAcentral lists this ribosomal RNA (216 nucleotides) under Glomeromycotina sp. RNAcentral's name for it is "partial small subunit ribosomal RNA". The stretch from base 40 to 216 matches the Rfam family "Eukaryotic small subunit ribosomal RNA", at positions 686 to 864 of the family's 1831-position model. The record is from RNAcentral. Lineage: Eukaryota; Fungi; Glomeromycota.